GCGUAACUGGACCUACCCUCAAGUCCUGACCGAACUCCUCGAAAGAGGAGCUAAUGUGGGAUGUGCUGCCUCACCGUGGUGAGGCAGUAAAGGCUAUGACCGCUUAGAGGAUGGGGUUGCGUUUCAUCAGCUAGAUGGUGGGGUAAAGGCCUACCAUGGCGACGGACGAAUAGCCGGCCUGAGAGGGUGGCCGGCCACAGGGGGCACUGAGACACGGGCCCCACUCCUAACGGGAGGCAGCAGUUUAGGAAUCUUCCCCAAUGGGCGCAAGCCUGAGGGAGCGACGCCGCGUGAGGGAUG
Molecule: ribosomal RNA, 300 nt
Filed under: uncultured Deinococcus sp.
Lineage: Bacteria; Thermotogati; Deinococcota; Deinococci; Deinococcales; Deinococcaceae
Description: bacterial SSU rRNA
Rfam family: Bacterial small subunit ribosomal RNA
Source: RNAcentral